This 79-nucleotide transfer RNA is filed under the name Paleosuchus palpebrosus (Cuvier's dwarf caiman). RNAcentral describes it as "tRNA-Lys". The record is from RNAcentral. Lineage: Eukaryota; Metazoa; Chordata; Crocodylia; Alligatoridae.
CACUAAGAAGCUAAAUGGUUAGCACUAGCCUUUUAAGCUAGAAUUAGGGGACCAACACCCACCCUCACCCCCCCCCCCC